This is a non-coding RNA of Cucurbita pepo subsp. pepo (vegetable marrow), 2195 nucleotides long. The record is from RefSeq and is a predicted model, not a curated record. Lineage: Eukaryota; Viridiplantae; Streptophyta; Magnoliopsida; Cucurbitales; Cucurbitaceae.
UGUUUUUUUGUUUUCUAAUCGGAAUUCUAUUUCAUUUUGGACGGCCAUUUAUGUAUUCAAUUCUGUGUAACACUGCGUUUGAGAUGGAAUUUCAUUUAUAGGAUUUUUUAGCGAUUGGAUUGGAGCUCUUACUAUUAGAGAUUGCGUGUAAACAUUUCCAACGCUUGGAUUGUGUUCGGAGUGAUUGCGUUGGCUUCUUUUUAUGGAUUUUUGAUAUUCUUACUCGAUUAUGGAUUUGGUCUCUGGUUACAAGGUGAUCUCUCUCACUUCUCUGCAUCCGAAGUUUCAUGGAUUAUGAUGUUUAGGACAGUAAUUGGUGCUUGUUUGUAGUUUUUUAUACGAUCUUUAGUAUUGUGUUUUAUCUGUGAGCUUUGUGCAGGGCGUGGUUGGGCUUGAUUUCGGCAAUGAGAAUUCUGCAUCCAAUAAAGAUAGCAAUGGUCAGCUUGCAGAGGACAGGAGAGCUGCUAUGGUGGAGCUUCAGUCUGUUGUAGCAGAAAAUCGUUCUGCCCAACUACCUUUUGGUGCAAUGGGAUUUCCUGUGCUUAUGAGUGUUUUAAAGGAGGAACGAGAUGAUGUUGAAAUGGUUGCAGUUUAUCUGUUCUUUGCUUCCCCUUUAUUGAGAAAUUAAAUCUUGCUUUAGGACUUCUAGUUGUGCUUUCAUUCUGAACAAAGUACAUGUUAUUGCCAUUUCAAGAAGUAUUGGAACAACUAAAGAUAAUAUUACAUGGUUCUAGGGGCCCUUGAAUCUCUUGUAAGUGCAUUGACUCCUCUCGAUCAUGCAAAUGGGUCCAGGGAUGAAGUUCAAAUCUGAUGAACUCUGAUUUGGUUGCAAGGGAAUCAGACAGCAUAUCUCUUCUUUUAAGUCUUUUGGUCAGUAAUUCCCCACAUUUACUUACAUUUUCAAUAUCUAUAGGUUUGGGUAUGCAUUUGUGCAACUCAGUAUCAUAUCUGAUCACUUUUCUCCUCCCUUCUUUGGGUUUCUUUCUGUGCUUUUGCAGUCAGAAGAGGAUUUUUUUAUGUUAGAUAUUAUGCUCUUCAACUGUUGACAGCUCUUCUUUCAAAUUCUCCCACGAGUUAUAUUUAUUUUGCGACUCUUUCUGUACUUUUUACUAUUCUCAUUACUUGAAUUGCUGAUUUUCCUCUUAAGAUUGGAGGAAGCAAUUCUCAGCAUUCCUCGCGUUAUAACUCGACUUAUGGACAUGCUUAUGGACCGUGAGGUAUACUUUGGCUAACUAAUAUAGAUAAGAACAGAAAAAUUAUAACACGGGACUCGCUGAUCUCUGAGCAUCCCAAAAAUAUUGAUGCUAUUGCAUGCAAACUCCUUGGAGACAAUGUGCUGCAAGAGCCUGCCCUGAAUUCAAUUCUUAGGAUCACUUUGCGGACAUCAAGUACCCAAGAAUACUUCGCAGUUGAUUAUGUUUUCAAUUGAUUUUGUGAGAAAAAUUCUGAUGGGCAAACAAUGUUGGCAUCCACUUUAAUUCCUCAACCAUAGUCCAUGAUCCAUGCACCACUUGAGGAGGAUGUGAACAUGUCAUUCGGAAGCAUGCUCUUACAUAGUCUUACUUUGAGCGAAAACUAGGGGGUUCUAGAGGUAACGUAUAUUAUAAUGUCGAAGGAAUGUUGAAAUAUAUGAUAUGGCACGAGUGCUGCAUCACAAAGUAUCAGUAGUUCUUGGAUGUCCCCGAAGGUUUAUUCACAAGUAUCCUGAGUUCAAUAAUGACAACAAGAGCUGCCAGUGUUCUUACUCGUGUGAUUAAGAACAACAAUCAGUGCAACUAUGCCAUCCUUUGGAGAUCCUGAACCUCUGAUGCAUCGAAUGGUGAAGUAUUUGGCUGUUGCCUCUUCUAUGAAAAACAGAAAUGGGAAGUUCCGACAAGGUCUACGGCUGCUAGUAUGGCUGAAUUAAGGCAGAAGCAAGGGAAGAAGAUCUGAAGGAGAGUGAGACUGAAGUGAAUGACUUGCAUGUGUGCCUCGUGCAAGAACAAAGCAAGGCUAUUGGAGUUCGGAGAGGAUGUUGAUAAACUUCUUGAAGGAAUCGGAGAUGGCCUCGGGCUGCCUAACGACGACGAAGAUGACGGAGAUGAAACCUGAUAUGCUGUAUGUGAUGCUCCUGUGCCUUAACAGAUUGUAUAUUAUCAAGUUUAUAACAAUUUAAUCUAUUAACUUUUAAUAAAUAAUAGUUUGAUUUUUUUUUU